RNAcentral lists this ribosomal RNA (197 nucleotides) under Helicobacter pylori. Its description in RNAcentral is "partial 16S ribosomal RNA". It matches the Rfam family "Bacterial small subunit ribosomal RNA", at positions 1338 to 1533 of the family's 1533-position model. Lineage: Bacteria; Pseudomonadati; Campylobacterota; Epsilonproteobacteria; Campylobacterales; Helicobacteraceae. The record is from RNAcentral.
GUAAUCGCAAAUCAGCCAUGUUGCGGUGAAUACGUUCCCGGGUCUUGUACUCACCGCCCGUCACACCAUGGGAGUUGUGUUUGCCUUAAGUCAGGAUGCUAAAUUAGCUACUGCCCACGGCACACACAGCGACUGGGGUGAAGUCGUAACAAGGUAACCGUAGGUGAACCUGCGGUUGGAUCACCUCCUUUCUAGAG